RNAcentral lists this ribosomal RNA (449 nucleotides) under uncultured bacterium. RNAcentral describes it as "partial 16S ribosomal RNA". It matches the Rfam family "Bacterial small subunit ribosomal RNA", at positions 29 to 523 of the family's 1533-position model. The record is from RNAcentral.
AACGAACGCUGGCGGCAGGCUUAACACAUGCAAGUCGAACGAGAUCUUCGGAUCUAGUGGCAGACGGGUGAGGAACACGUGGGAGCAUCCCUUUCAGUUCGGAAUAACGUUGGGAAACUAACGCUAAUACCGGAUACGUCCUUCGGGAGAAAGAUUUAUCGCUGAAAGAUUGGCCCGCGUCUGAUUAGCUAGUUGGUGAGGUAAUGGCUCACCAAGGCUACGAUCAGUAGCUGAUCUGAGAGGAUGAUCAGCCACAUUGGGACUGAGACACGGCCCAAACUCCUACGGGAGGCAGCAGUGGGGAAUAUUGGACAAUGGGCGCAAGCCUGAUCCAGCCAUGCCGCGUGAGUGAUGACGCCCUUCGGGUUGUAAAGCUCUUUUGUCCGGGAAGAUAAUGACUGUACCGGAAGAAUAAGCCCCGGCAAACUUCGUGCCAGCCGCCGCAGUAA